ACAACUCAGAGAAUGCAGUAUACCUAUCAGUUACAAAGCCAAAUAAAAAGCAGAAUUAUGAUAAAGCUUCAGCUAUAUUGCAAAUGAAAAAUAUGAUACAAUGUUGUCUAUUGAUUGGGAUAUUCAACAUUUUAUUUUCCAUGCAUCUGAAUGAAAUCAAUAGCAAAAAUUUGCAUGUGUGUACACUACUGGAAUUAUAAUUUAGCAGAGUUCCCAGCCCCUGUAAAUGCCAUUUGCCAACCAUAGAACGCUGUAUGUAUUGGGUUGUGGUACAGCUACGUGGUACGCCACUUGGCUGGAUGGGUAUGCAAGGAG
Molecule: unclassified non-coding RNA, 315 nt
Filed under: Hevea brasiliensis (rubber tree)
Lineage: Eukaryota; Viridiplantae; Streptophyta; Magnoliopsida; Malpighiales; Euphorbiaceae
Source: RNAcentral